Molecule: ribosomal RNA, 252 nt
Filed under: uncultured bacterium
Lineage: Bacteria
Description: partial 16S ribosomal RNA
Rfam family: Bacterial small subunit ribosomal RNA
Source: RNAcentral
UACGGAGGAUGCGAGCGUUAUCCGGAUUUAUUGGGUUUAAAGGGUGCGUAGGCGGGAUGCCAAGUCAGCGGUAAAAAUGCGGUGCUCAACGCCGUCGAGCCGUUGAAACUGGCGUUCUUGAGUGGGCGAGAAGUAUGCGGAAUGCGUGGUGUAGCGGUGAAAUGCAUAGAUAUCACGCAGAACUCCGAUUGCGAAGGCAGCAUACCGGCGCCCUACUGACGCUGAGGCACGAAAGCGUGCGUAUCAAACAGG